Molecule: long non-coding RNA, 259 nt
Organism: Sphaeramia orbicularis (orbiculate cardinalfish)
Lineage: Eukaryota; Metazoa; Chordata; Actinopteri; Kurtiformes; Apogonidae
Exons: 3
Source: RefSeq, a predicted model, not a curated record
UCCACAUGAUGGCAGCAUGCAAAACUACACGGUGGUUGGUGGAGGAGGUUCAGACUUUCUGUCAUUGGUGGCUGAUGAAAUAAUUCAGCGUGAGCUUGACGAGGCAACACGCAACGAGCGAGUUUGUCAGCAACUCUCUGAGCAGACGUCACAGAAGUUACAUGUAGUAUCGCUAUGACAACGAGAUACUCUAAAGCCAGUAGUAUCCUGUCAUGGAAAUGGUCUCCAGGAAUAGUAUCUGGUACCCGAGUCGAGUCGA